RNAcentral lists this ribosomal RNA (253 nucleotides) under uncultured bacterium. Its description in RNAcentral is "partial 16S ribosomal RNA". It matches the Rfam family "Bacterial small subunit ribosomal RNA", at positions 524 to 776 of the family's 1533-position model. The record is from RNAcentral.
UACAGAGGUCCCGAGCGUUGUUCGGAUUCACUGGGCGUAAAGGGUGCGUAGGUGGCAGGGUAAGUCGGAUGUGAAAGCUCGGAGCUCAACUCCGAAAUGGCAUUGGAAACUACCCAGCUCGAGGGUUGGAGGGGGGACUGGAAUGCUUGGUGUAGCAGUGAAAUGCGUAGAUAUCAAGCGGAACACCAGUGGCGAAGGCGGCGAUCUGGACGAUGACUGACGCUGAGACGCGAAAGCGUGGGGAGCAAACAGG